RNAcentral lists this ribosomal RNA (674 nucleotides) under Salmonella enterica. Its description in RNAcentral is "partial 23S ribosomal RNA". It matches the Rfam family "Bacterial large subunit ribosomal RNA", at positions 2274 to 2925 of the family's 2925-position model. The record is from RNAcentral. Lineage: Bacteria; Pseudomonadati; Pseudomonadota; Gammaproteobacteria; Enterobacterales; Enterobacteriaceae.
CUGGGGCGGUCUCCUCCUAAAGAGUAACGGAGGAGCACGAAGGUUGGCUAAUCCUGGUCGGACAUCAGGAGGUUAGUGCAAUGGCAUAAGCCAGCUUGACUGCGAGCGUGACGGCGCGAGCAGGUGCGAAAGCAGGUCAUAGUGAUCCGGUGGUUCUGAAUGGAAGGGCCAUCGCUCAACGGAUAAAAGGUACUCUGGGGAUAACAGGCUGAUACCGCCCAAGAGUUCAUAUCGACGGCGGUGUUUGGCACCUCGAUGUCGGCUCAUCACAUCCUGGGGCUGAAGUAGGUCCCAAGGGUAUGGCUGUUCGCCAUUUAAAGUGGUACGCGAGCUGGGUUUAGAACGUCGUGAGACAGUUCGGUCCCUAUCUGCCGUGGGCGCUGGAGAACUGAGGGGGGCUGCUCCUAGUACGAGAGGACCGGAGUGGACGCAUCACUGGUGUUCGGGUUGUCAUGCCAAUGGCACUGCCCGGUAGCUAAAUGCGGAAGAGAUAAGUGCUGAAAGCAUCUAAGCACGAAACUUGCCCCGAGAUGAGUUCUCCCUGAGACUUUAGGUCUCCUGAAGGAACGUUGAAGACGACGACGUUGAUAGGCCGGGUGUGUAAGCGCAGCGAUGCGUUGAGCUAACCGGUACUAAUGAACCGUGAGGCUUAACCUUACAACGCCGAAGCUGUU